UACGUAGGGGGCAAGCGUUGUCCGGAAUCAUUGGGCGUAAAGCGCGUGUAGGCGGCCCGAUAAGUCCGCUGUGAAAGUCCAGGGCUCAACCCUGGGAUGCCGGUGGAUACUGUCGGGCUCGAGUCCGGAAGAGGAGUGUGGAAUUCCUGGUGUAGCGGUGAAAUGCGCAGAUAUCGGGAGGAACACCAAUGGCGAAGGCAGCACUCUGGGACGUGACUGACGCUGAGACGCGAAAGCGUGGGGAGCAAACAGG
This 253-nucleotide ribosomal RNA is filed under the name uncultured bacterium. RNAcentral's name for it is "partial 16S ribosomal RNA". It matches the Rfam family "Bacterial small subunit ribosomal RNA", at positions 524 to 776 of the family's 1533-position model. The record is from RNAcentral.